UUGUAGUCUCUACAUAGUGAUGGUUGUAC
Molecule: non-coding RNA, 29 nt
Filed under: Homo sapiens (human)
Lineage: Eukaryota; Metazoa; Chordata; Mammalia; Primates; Hominidae
Source: RNAcentral